This 253-nucleotide ribosomal RNA is filed under the name uncultured bacterium. RNAcentral's name for it is "partial 16S ribosomal RNA". It matches the Rfam family "Bacterial small subunit ribosomal RNA", at positions 524 to 776 of the family's 1533-position model. The record is from RNAcentral.
UACGUAGGGUGCGAGCGUUGUCCGGAAUUAUUGGGCGUAAAGAGCUCGUAGGCGGUUUGUCGCGUCGACUGUGAAAACCUGGGGCUUAACUCUGGGCCUGCAGUCGAUACGGGCAGACUUGAGUUCGGUAGGGGAGACUGGAAUUCCUGGUGUAGCGGUGAAAUGCGCAGAUAUCGGGAGGAACACCUAUGGCGAAGGCAGCUCGCUGGGACGUUACUGACGCUGAUGCGCGAAAGCGUGGGGAGCAAACAGG